CUGGUCUCCGCUUCACAAGCUUCUUCAGUAGUCCAAAAAGAACAUCUGUGUGGAUUGUCCUCUCAUGAGCUUCAUCAAGCAUGACCACAGAAUACUGAGAAAGGUUCUCAUCAAUCAAAAUCUCCCUAAGAAGCAUACCAUCAGUCAUGUACUUGAUGACAGUGUCUGGACCAGUGCAAUCCUCAAAACGAAUUGCAUAGCCGACUUCCUCUCCUAAACGACAACCAAACUCUUCAGCAACCCUCUUGGCCACAGACAUAGCAGCCACCCUACGUGGCUGUGUACAACCAAUCUUACCCAUUGUCGUGUAACCCGCUUCUGCAAGAUACUGCGUUACCUGUGUUGUCUUACCCGAACCAGUCUCACCAAUGACGACAAGCACUUGGUUCUCAUGCACCGCUGCAAUCAAUUCUUUCUUCAGCUUGUAGAUAGGCAAGCUCUGCCUCUGUUCCUGGAUUGAGAGUUUUGACCUCUGCCCAAAACUGAUAGUUUUCCCAAAAGCAUCCUUCUUCCACUCAGGCAUAUCAUAUGCUGACAAACCAACACCUCUAAGUUCUUGUGCAAGAUGCCUCUCACCAGUCUCUGGCAUUGGAUCUUCCCAGGGACGAUUGAGAUCCUUUGGGAUAGAAUCCAACAUGGUUCUUUGCUGCUGCUCACGCACUUCUCUACGCUCCUUAAUGAGUGCGGACUGAAGUGCAGCUGCACGACCCAGUGACCCUUCUGGAUUCUUAAAGAUUUUCACAGGUGACAUAUCAACAGAAUACCUGCUCUGUCCAUUUAAAAAGGCUGGCUCGUCCUCAUUGAGCUCAAUCUCAAGCUCUUCCUCAGCUCCCUCUUCUUGAUAAAGCAUCCCAUCGGUUUCCUCAUCAUACAUAGGAUACUCUGUAACACCCAAAACACCUGAGGCAAUCAACUGUUUGGCUUCCCACUUCUCUGGCGAGCUCAU
RNAcentral lists this long non-coding RNA (946 nucleotides) under Prunus dulcis (almond). RNAcentral describes it as "sRNA ncRNA". The record is from RNAcentral. Lineage: Eukaryota; Viridiplantae; Streptophyta; Magnoliopsida; Rosales; Rosaceae.